AGGACGAACGCUGGCGGCGUGCUUAAUACAUGCAAGUCGAGCGGUCAAACUCAGCAAUGAGUUUGGUAGCGGCGGACGGGUGAGUAACGCGUGGGCAAUCUGCCCUCUAGCCCGGGACAACAGUUCGAAAGGACUGCUAAAACCGGAUAUGCUCACACCCUGACAUCGGGGAGUGAGAAAAGGAUACACUAGAGGAUGAGCCCGCGUCCCAUUAGCUAGUUGGUGAGGUAACGGCCCACCAAGGCGACGAUGGGUAGCCGACCUGAGAGGGUGAACGGCCACACUGGGACUGAGACACUGGCCAGACUCCUACGGGAGGCUGCAGUCGAGGAUCUUCGGCAAUGGGCGCAAGCCUGACCGAGCGACGCCGCGUGCGCGAUGAAGGCCUUCGGGUUGUAAAGCGCUGUCGAGGGGGAGGAAGCCGCAAGGUUGACCUAUCCCUGGAGGAAGGACGGGCUAAGUUCGUGCCAGCAGCCGCGGUAAGACGAACCGUCCUAACGUUGUUCGGAAUCACUGGGCUUAAAGGGCGCGUAGGCGGGCUCUCAAGUCCGGGGUGAAAUCUUUCGGCUCAACCGGAAAAUAGCCUUGGAUACUGGGAGUCUCGAGGGAGGUAGGGGCGGGUGGAACUUCCGGUGGAGCGGUGAAAUGCGUUGAUAUCGGAAGGAACGCCGGUGGCGAAAGCGACCCGCUGGACCUCUUCUGACGCUGAGGCGCGAAAGCCAGGGGAGCAAACGGGAUUAGAUACCCCGGUAGUCCUGGCCCUAAACGAUGGGUACUAGAUAGCGGACUAGACAUGGGUUCGCUGUCGAAGCAAAAGUGCUAAGUACCCCGCCUGGGGAGUAUGGUCGCAAGGCUGAA
RNAcentral lists this ribosomal RNA (858 nucleotides) under uncultured bacterium. Its description in RNAcentral is "bacterial SSU rRNA". It matches the Rfam family "Bacterial small subunit ribosomal RNA", at positions 26 to 898 of the family's 1533-position model. The record is from RNAcentral.